This 1322-nucleotide long non-coding RNA is filed under the name Daucus carota (carrot). Its description in RNAcentral is "long non-coding RNA (DCAR_LNC005026)". Lineage: Eukaryota; Viridiplantae; Streptophyta; Magnoliopsida; Apiales; Apiaceae. The record is from RNAcentral.
ACUAAUACUAUACAAUAUUUCUUACCAAGUCAGAUCAUCUUCGAUAAGAAGAAUCACUGUCAACUAUUCCAGCUUGCACCAAUCUCAUCAACUUUUCUGAACACUCCUCGACCACUGGAUCCUCAACUCUGUCUCCUCGCCUAGCAUUAGCCUUACUCACAAUCUCAAUCAAUCAUCUCAUCUUUAAGCCUUUCUGAAAUGGUUAGAAAGGAAUAGCAAGGGUGAGCAACAAUGCUCAGCAAGUAAUAAUAAACAAUGAUAGUUCUGAAAUGAUAUAAUAGAAGUUCACGAGUUCAAGAUAUAAGAGGAUUCAACCUGAGUUCAUGAGUUGAUGGUAUUGUAUAGAAUGAUUCACAAUACCUUGCAGCAUUUAAACUGAGAAAUUCAAUCUUUCCAAAGAAUUAUUGAAUUGGACUAUCACAUUUUAAUUAAAACCAAGGUUAGGCAGCUGAUCAGUUCCGCACUAACCCCGAGCAGGCCCCGCCAUGCUCUAUUACUGGAUCCAAGGCACUCAUUGGCCUAACAUGACCACGAAUCUGGUCCACAGGUUUAUAUAAAAACAAUAAUCCAAUUCUCUAAUUCAAUUCAAGAAGCCAAUGUAAAUCAACAGAACAGCAUCAUAAAUAUCAUCAACAACAGAAUUAUUCCAAAUCAAACUUUGAUAAUAAUCUAUUCAUAAAUCAUGAUCCAUCAUUUCAUAAAUCACAGUUCAGGAAAUCCUUAACUAUUCAGUAUCCUCCAUUAUCGGCUAAGCAACUGAAUUUAGCCUGCUAAACCAGCAUGACAAUGGCGGGUUGAAUAAUCAAGAAGAUCCCAAUUCAUUCUAAGUUCUAACUAUCACUGAGCAACACAUGCUUCAAUGACAAUCUGAACUUUGAAUUACUUUGUAAAGCUGACAUUCUUUAGAAACUUGAAGAUUAGAAAGAAUGGGUCAGAAUACUCGCACUUUCGAACAUUGAAAAGAAAGGUAUGAAUACUUGAAACAUAUACCAAAGGAAUGGAUCAGAAUAUUUGCAAUAUAUCCAAGAGAAAGGUUUAGGAUACUUGCAACACAUAUAAAAAGAAUGGAUCAGAAUAUGCAAUAUAUCCAAAAGCAGGGUGCAGGAUACUUGCCUUAAAUCUGACUCCAGUCUCACAUCUCUAUCUCAUCUUUCCACUUUCACAAUCUAUGCAUCUCGUAAUCUCUAGACCAUCUCUAGCUAUACUCUAUUCGCCACAUCGCUUCGCUUACUCGAUUCAUCCCUUAUUCGCUUUGCAAUACCAUUCCGACUUUCUGACGUCUUCGAGCGUACACGUCUCGUCCAAAUCCUUUACGAGAAUAA